This 74-nucleotide transfer RNA is filed under the name Candidatus Nardonella dryophthoridicola. RNAcentral describes it as "tRNA-Thr". It matches the Rfam family "tRNA". Rfam says of the family: Transfer RNA (tRNA) molecules are approximately 80 nucleotides in length. Their secondary structure includes four short double-helical elements and three loops (D, anti-codon, and T loops). The record is from RNAcentral. Lineage: Bacteria; Pseudomonadati; Pseudomonadota; Gammaproteobacteria. RNAcentral also lists the same sequence under 1 other name.
GCCGAUAUAGCUCAGUUGGUAAGAGCAACUGAUUUGUAAUCAGUAGGUCAAAGGUUCGAUUCCUUUUAUCGGCU